This is an RNA transcript of Papaver somniferum (opium poppy), 2133 nucleotides long. It is a transcript of the gene named 18S rRNA (guanine-N(7))-methyltransferase RID2-like, with no coding region annotated. The record is from RefSeq and is a predicted model, not a curated record. The transcript is spliced from 6 exons. NCBI's taxonomy places the organism in Eukaryota, Viridiplantae, Streptophyta, Magnoliopsida, Ranunculales, Papaveraceae.
UUCUCUCAUUCUCCUGUCAUGUCUAAAAUUCGAUGAUUUCAGAAAUAUCAAAUCCCAAAUCAAGCCAUCCUUUUUAUUUUUCGCCGGGUUUUGAGGUUUACAUACAAAAUUUGUUUUAGGGUUCAGUCUCUCUUAUGUAGUCUCUAAAAACUCUCAAGAGCAGCAACACAAAGAAGCAGAAAGGCCCUAAACUUCUCAUUUCCUCGGUUUUUGAUUUGAAAGAUGGUGAAGAGGAUUGACGUUUUCCUCGUCAAAGAGUUUGGAAAUGGAAAUCAAAUGGUUCAGUUCAGUAAAGAACCUAACAAUAAACACUUUGGGUUAGCUACUGCAAAUACUAUUUCAGUUCAAGCUGGAAAAGAUUCAGGUGUUGUGCUGGCUACUAUCAAGACUAACAAACAGAAGUACCCUUCAGCUUUGGUGCACAAAACUGUCAUCAAUCUAGGAAACAUAUCUCGUCUUCUCGUACCACUGAAAUUCAGGUUCAAUAAUCAUUAUUCCUCCACAUAUUUUUAUCAAUUCUGAUCAAAUAGUUUGAUUUCGUUUACUAAUUCUAGUCGAUUUUAUAGUGUAAAGGCAAAACUUUCUGAGAGAGUAUUAGAGCUUCUUGUGUUGCCGGGGGAUGAUGUUCCACGGCUGCUCCUUGAUAUUAGCAAGUUCAUGUUUGAUACUUAAAUUUGUGAUUUUAUUAGUAGACGGCUGAAGUUUGGGAUUAGUUUUGAUUGUUUACUUUGUGUUUUGUUUGUAGGUUGUGGCUCUGGACUAAGCGGAGAAACAUUAUCUGAGAGUGGACACCAUGGAUUGGUUUAGACAUAUCUGAUUCAAUUUUGAGUGAAAUAAUGUUGCGUUGGAGCGGGAAGUAGAAGGUGAUCUUUUGCUAAGCGAUAUGGGUCAGGACAUGGGUUUCAUGGAUGGAGUUAUUAAUGGUGCUAUUAGCAUCUCAGUGGUGCAGGUUGGAAUUCUUUUAACCUCUUAUGUGAAAUGUGCCUUGUUUCUGGAUCAUAUUUAUACUCUAAAGCUUAAUUGCAUGGUUCAGAAUCAGUACAGUAUGUCAUGUAUUUUGGUGCAUGCAUGGGUUGGACAAUUUUCUUUUUCGAAUGCUUUAUUGACUGACGUUAAUACUUGUCGCUAAUCAAAUAGUGGAUUUGUUAUGCGGAUAGGUUCUCUCAUAAUCUAAGACUGAGAUUGAAGUAUGUCUUGAACUGGUUCUUUUUAACAUCUUAUUAAGUUUAUAUUUCAUGUAGACAUGUAUUGAAAUGGCGCAAUUUCAUUGCAGGGCAUUUUUUGGAUCACUAUAUCGGCGUUUACCCUGAAAGCAAUGACCAGCUUGAAUUGAUCCUAGGAUUUGCUAAGCGUGCUGGCAUUGCAGCUGGUGUGGUUGUUGAUUUUUCCCCACGGGUAAAUUUAGGACGAUUUAUGAUGUUUCUGUAACAGACCUUUAAAGUCAUUUUUGAAAGUAUUGCCUUUUAUUGACCCAAAUAUUGGAGGCACAUCUGAUCCUGAUAAAUGGGUUACAAUACUUGGUAAGAAACUCGAUGAAUGGUGGCAAUGGGUAGGUCAUUUUGGAGUCACUAAGUCUGUAAUAUUUGAUUUAUUGAUAUUUUCUUUCACUAAGAUUACUUAUUUGCUUUUGUUGGAGCAGGUGGCUGAAGGGGAGUUUCCACUUGCUGCAUUUUAUGGAGGGUAGGACAUUUCUAGAUACAAAGACCUUGACUGUAGAAGAAGAAGAUAAAAAGCAAUCAAUAUUUACGGGUUUACACAAAUUAAAAGGUAUGAUAUACAAAGAAAAUUAUGUUGUGCAUGCUAUAGAUAGGAAGUCGGGCAAAAGGUGAAUAGAAAUCCAAGUGGUAAGGUAUUUCUCCGCAUGAUAUUGUAAUUUUCUUUCCAGUUUGUACUUUUAGUAUUUUUAGAAUAAUUGAGGUUCCUGAAUAAAGUUUUCUGAAUCAAUUGAGGUUUGUAGGAAACCACCAGCAUUGUUCCGCAACACUGGUAACUAAAUAAUGGUCUUCUUUGACAAUCUAAAUGCUAAAUGGCUGAAUACCUUCUCUAUUCAUUUCAUUCUGUAUAAAUAAGAUCAUUGUACAGCCUAUAACAGGCAACAAAAUAUAGAACUAAUGCUAUAUACUAUUUGGCUAA